This 5476-nucleotide long non-coding RNA is filed under the name Sus scrofa (pig). RNAcentral describes it as "lncRNA (ENSSSCG00040046475.1)". The record is from RNAcentral. Lineage: Eukaryota; Metazoa; Chordata; Mammalia; Artiodactyla; Suidae.
UUUUUUUUUUUGUUUCCAUUUUAAUUGGUCAUUAUCCCCUCACUGGUGAUAAAAGCCCACCCUUCUUUUUUAUUCACCAUGGAACCACUGUAGUGUGCUGGUUGGACCAUUCAAAUCUUGACUUCACCUUGGACCUUUCACUUGAUUCUGUCUAUUCACCAUCGUUGCACAGGAGAGUUCUGUCUGUGUUUUGUUUCUGAGUCUGGCACCACUCUGAAGGUUUAACUUUGUAGGGAGUCUCUCUCCAGAUAAUUUAAAAAGUUGAAUUCUCCCUAGGAAGUAGCUCAAGAAUUUGAAUAGCCUCUCAAAUUCCACUCACUGGAUUAAUGCUUAAAAAAAUAAUUUUUGUGGCUCAGUGGAAUUGAAUCUGACUAGUAUCCAUGAGGAUUCAGGUUCAAUCCCUAGCCUUGCUCAGUGGGUCCGGGAUCCGGUGUUGCUAUGAGCUAUAGCGUAGGUCGCAGACGCAGCCUGGAUUCUGUGUUGCUGUGGUAUAGGCUGGCAGCUAUAGCACUGAUUCAACCCUCUAGGGGGAACUUUCAUAUGUCGUGUGUGUGGCCCCCAAAAAUAACAACAACGACAACAAAAACAAUAAAGUAAAAUGUGCUUUAAUAAAAAUAAUAAACAAGGCAUUAGCUGAGGAGCUGAUGGCACCACCUGCCUUCAGUACAAGAAUUCAACACCAACGUGUGGGUGUUUGGGAAGAGUUGAUCAGACCGACACUGAAGCCGGAAAUAAGCAGCAGCAGCAGUAGUACCACAAAGCCUGGGAAACACACCCACAAAAUGACAGUACUGAAUUCACAUUCUGGCUGCAUCACUCACCAGCAGUGUGACCUCUGGCAAGUCAUUUAAAUGUCCUGAGGGUCAGAUUACUCCUUCAUAAAAAGGACACAUUAACACCUUUCCUGUAAGAAUUUGUGAGGACAGAAAGUACCUGACUAGCACAAUCGAUCAUCUUCCUCAUUAUUGUAUUAUAAAGAAACUCUCAAAAGUGUUCUAAAAUAUCCAGAGGGGCUGAUUCCUCCAACAGAGAGGUUCCUGACCAUUAUUGCAGGUAUAGGUUCUGGAUCUCAGAUGGCACCUACGGUAUAAGCAUCUUCAUUGUACUCAAUCCUGAGAUUCCAUCUGCAGUCAGAUUAUGGCUGGGAAAACAUUUUCCCUCUGGCAGCAGCUCUCUCAGGGUGAUAUGAACACACAUGUAUUCUAUAAGUGAAGGGUAUUCGAAAAGAUAAUGCCACAGGAGGAAAAAAAAAGGGUCCCUUUGUGAAGCACCUAUGUUUCCUUUGAAAUAACGGAUUGGCACAUGCCAAUCCUUUAUUGAGUUUUUACCAUCUGUUGAAAUCAUCUCUUCCGGGAGAAACAAAGAAUGAGUUCAGGCUACCUGCCUUGGUUCAUUUGCAAUGAAAAUUUUCACUUCUAAUGAAUGGAAUAUUUUGUGAAAUAAAACAGGCUUAAUUCUGUUAUACAAUCUUGGGUCUCUAUGCUGUAUUCUCCUCCACCCUAUUCUCCUAGCUAUGCUGAAAGAAUGCGAGAGCGCUGAUGGCGGUAUCAAUUAUGCAGCUCUUGAAAAGGGGCUCUGUGAGAGAGAACAUUAAGGUGAACUGCAUGGUUAGUACAUAAUUUCUGCUCUAAGUGGUUUCUGCUCUAAUCUGUCCAUGUCUCUUUCUGUUAUAAGAGUGCAUCUUCAAAAUCUGCCCGCAAAUCAAUGUGGACGUCAGAGGAGAAACAUCAAAACAAUUAUACAAAUUGUGCUUCAUGAGUCUGAUCAGCAGCAAAAAUCAGCUUGAUCAGUGUGUACUCACACCAUUCCAGCAGAAAAAAAAAAUCAAUCAGAAAUAUUGAUCACCGUUUUAUUCUGCUGUCCAAGACAAAUUAAUCAGUAUCACACACGACAAUAACUAUAUAAAAUGACAGUAAUGUUUACCUAAAUUUAUAUUCAAUUUAGAUCAUUAAACAACUAGGUCAUUAGAUCAUUUUAAAAGUAGAGAAAAAGAAUAUGAGAUGUGAAAAAUUCCAAGGUAGAUAACAUUCUUCUAUAACCGUUAUGCACAACAAGCAAAUUCAAUAUCCCCAAAAUACUGAAUCAAUCAUAUAUUAUAUCACAUUUAUGACAAAGAGUGUGUGUGUGUGGUGGGGGGUGUGUGUACACUUUGGAAGGAGAAAGAUUAUGAUAAGACAAGUUUCCAUGUUUACUGCACAAAUAAAAUGCAGCUUAGCUACAAUGACAAAGCUCCUUGGUGGCAGAAGUAAAUCUAGAAUUCACAUAUAUUAUGAACCCUAACGUAGUAUUCUUAUGCCACAUUAAAAAUGCCAAAAAAUAAAUUCCCUUUGACCAAGAACUGCUCCAUCCAUGAGCUGAUCCCUCCUGCCUGGAGAAACCACCUGCCUCUUGUCUUGCGUGAGGAGCCCCCUGGCUCUAUCCCAGCACCACUGCAGAGCUUCUCAGCCUGCACCUCCAAACCUUUGCUGUGUGUAGGCAAGGACAGAGAGAGCGCAGAGCAGAUGGACCUCACAGUAAGUGCCCAAUAUAUGAUAGCUCUUAUCAUUACAAUAACCCACACAGUAAACAUUACUAUAGAUUUUAGGAGUUCCUGUUGUGGAGCAGUGGAAAUGAAUCCAACUAGUAUCCAUGAGGAUGCAGGUUUGAUCCCUGGCCUCAAUCAGUGGGUUAAGGAUCUGGCAUUGCCAUGAGCUGUGGGGGAGGUCGCAGAUGUGGUUCAGAUUCUGCAUUGCUGUGGCUGUGGGACAGGCCAGCAGCUGUAGCUUUGAUUUGACCCCUAGCCUGGGAACCUCCAUAUGCCAUGGGUGUGGCCCUAAAAAGACCAAAAAAAAAAAAAAAAGAUAUUACUAUAUAUUUUAAAGAUGAGGAAACAGUCUUGGUGAGGUUUAAGUAACUUGCCAUAGGACACAAAAUGAACUGAAUCCAGAGUUAUUAAGACAACUGAUUAAGCUGAGUCAUGAUUGUAUGUCUGUCACUUUAAAUUUUAUAAAGUAUAUUGAGGAAAAAAGAAGCCAAGUGUAACAAAAGUGCACCUACUUUUAUACUUAGCAUCAUUUACUAUCCUUUAUAUAUUAUAUUAAUACCAAAUUAGUUAUAGUACAGUUAUAGUGUUUUAUAUCCAUGAUUUAUAUUGUCUUUUAUUUAUAACAUAUAGUUUAGUAUUUAUAUGCUAUUUAUGUUAUAUUUAUGAUAUAUUCAGUAUGCAAUAAUGGUGCUUCAAGAUCAAAUAGAAGCCUUAUGCUCUUUUAAAUACAAUCAUUCCUCCUCCUUACCUUCAUGAGUUAGGGAGGAAAGGCUGACAAGAGCUCAUUCCUUUAUCUUUUUAUUCAAUAAAUAUGUAUUAAACAGGGAGUUUCCAUUGUGACUCAGCAGAAACAAAUCCAACUAGUUUCUAUGAGGAUUCGGGUUUGAUCCCUGGCCUCGCUCAAUGGAUUAAUGAUCCAGCAUUGCCGUGAGCUGUGGUGCAGGUCACAGAUGUAGCUCAGAUCUGGUGUUGCUGUGGCUGUGGUAUAGGCUGGCAGUUGCAGCUCUGAUUUGACCCCUAGCCUGGGAACUUCCAUAUGCUGAGGAUGCAGCCCUAAAAAUCAAUCAAUCAAUCAAUCAAUCAAACAAAUAAACAAUAGGCAUUAAACAUCACAAGGCAAGAUAGAAAGGCAAAGGAUAUUCAAAAUUGACAAAAAAUAAAAUAAAAAAUAUAUAUUAAAGGUCUCUGGGAGAAGAUGAUUUUCUGGUGGGAAAGAAAUGUGUAAACAAUUCAUUACAACCAGUGAGGUCACUGGCAAUCUGAGUGUGUGGCGCCCUGCAGAAAAGCCCUCCAUCUGGCUAAAGAAGACAGGGAGUCAGCCUGGGCAGGUUCCAGACUAACUAACUCACUGGUUUAUCUGGCCAGUGUUGACUGGGUUCCAUCAAACCCCUUGCCCCUGUUGAGGUCCUGGAGACAAGUGCUGUGAACAAAGCACGAUCCCGCCUUCCAUUUGGCACCUCACAAUCCCAAUGAACCCCCCAGGAAAAGUGCUGCUCAGCUAUUUAGCAAGGAUUCUAGAAACAUUCUGAAAAUGUUUCCCUCUCCUUCUCACUUUUUUCUCUCAUUCACAUUUAAUUUAAUCAGAAAGAGUCUCAAUGGAGCUUCAGCAGAGCAAAGCAACAAAAUAACCUGGGAAACUUGAUUUGCUAAUUGGGCUGAUUGAGGUCGUUUUUAGCAUGGUGCACACAGGCUUAAAUGCUCUCUAAGUAGAAGGCGUGUGCAGCCUGCAGAAAAAACCAAGUUCUCCUUGAAAUCCUGUUUGGGAGCCCAGCAAGUCACUUCAGUAAUUCAGCAUCACACCUGAAGCAUUCAAGCUUCAACAAGGCUCUGUAUGCAAUCGACUUGCAGAUUUUCUUUCACUUCCUUUUUCUGUUUAGAACUAGAAUCCUGAAAGCUUUAUCUUGUUGCUUUGCCUUAGCUCACUCCGAACAUGAUUUCAAAAUUCUUUACAUUUCUAGCUAAAAGAACAAAGAACCACAAUUUUCUGACUGUAAGAAUUCCUCACAAGAGCAAAAGCAAAUCAGGAUAUGGCAAUUGGGUGAUGAGAAACUUGAAGAAAGCUUUUUAACAUACAAUCCCAAAUUCUUCCUCGAAGAACAUCUUGGCUAACAGAGUUUUGCCUUGCUGAAUUAGGGGAAAAAAAUCUUUCAAGGACAGCAUUAAGAUUGAACAAGUUUCUUUGGGUUCUCUCUAUUACAAGAAAUUGAAUCACUUCGGUCCCAAGUCCCUUAAAUUCUGGCUUUUGAUUGCCUAAUUUGUAAAACUUCUCAGCUACCUUGCCAGCCUCAUAGAGUUGUAGCUGAGGAUCCUGUAACAAAAGGCAGCAUUUAGAAAACUACAAGAAAAAAUAGAAACCAUUGUGAUGUCACUGUAGAUUUUUGGUUGCUAACACUUUGCUGCCUGUCACUUCUGAAGCAGUGAGAUACCGUAAGAAAAAUACUGGUCUGGGAAUUAAAAGACUUAAGAGGAGUGAGUUUCCGUUUGGAUUUAUCACUAACUAGCUGAUUGACCUGAGAACAAAUCACAUGAUGUUUUCUGAGUUUCAUUUUCCCUACUUAUAAGAGGACUUGACUAUAUUAUUACCAAGUCCCUGUUCAUUACUAAGAAUCAGUACUUCAAUGACCAUCUGUUAAUUCGAUUAUGAUUUGUGUGUUAGUAUCACUAUGGAUCAGGCAGAAAAAGUUGACAUCAAAAUCUGACCAAAGAGGCAAAACGAUAUUAUUAAACAGGCAGGUUAUAAGCACGUGGCAGUGUCUGAGGAAAAAUAUUAUAAGACAACAAAAAAUUAGGCAUGAAGAGAAUAGUCCUGCAAGGUUAAGAACUAGCUGUGAAGCCACAGGCACGUCAUAUAACCUCUCUGAACUUCAGUUCCCUCGUGUAGAAAAUGAAGAGUUUGGGGUCAUGUAAUUAAUCACCCCAUGGCCCUUUCAAUAGCAUCUAACAGAGUCACUG